This 2893-nucleotide ribosomal RNA is filed under the name Escherichia coli. RNAcentral's name for it is "bacterial LSU rRNA". It matches the Rfam family "Bacterial large subunit ribosomal RNA". The record is from RNAcentral. Lineage: Bacteria; Pseudomonadati; Pseudomonadota; Gammaproteobacteria; Enterobacterales; Enterobacteriaceae.
ACUAAGCGUACACGGUGGAUGCCCUGGCAGUCAGAGGCGAUGAAGGACGUGCUAAUCUGCGAUAAGCGUCGGUAAGGUGAUAUGAACCGUUAUAACCGGCGAUUUCCGAAUGGGGAAACCCAGUGUGUUUCGACACACUAUCAUUAACUGAAUCCAUAGGUUAAUGAGGCGAACCGGGGGAACUGAAACAUCUAAGUACCCCGAGGAAAAGAAAUCAACCGAGAUUCCCCCAGUAGCGGCGAGCGAACGGGGAGCAGCCCAGAGCCUGAAUCAGUGUGUGUGUUAGUGGAAGCGUCUGGAAAGGCGCGCGAUACAGGGUGACAGCCCCGUACACAAAAAUGCACAUAUUGUGAGCUCGAUGAGUAGGGCGGGACACGUGGUAUCCUGUCUGAAUAUGGGGGGACCAUCCUCCAAGGCUAAAUACUCCUGACUGACCGAUAGUGAACCAGUACCGUGAGGGAAAGGCGAAAAGAACCCCGGCGAGGGGAGUGAAAAAGAACCUGAAACCGUGUACGUACAAGCAGUGGGAGCACGCUUAGGCGUGUGACUGCGUACCUUUUGUAUAAUGGGUCAGCGACUUAUAUUCUGUAGCAAGGUUAACCGAAUAGGGGAGCCGAAGGGAAACCGAGUCUUAACUGGGCGUUAAGUUGCAGGGUAUAGACCCGAAACCCGGUGAUCUAGCCAUGGGCAGGUUGAAGGUUGGGUAACACUAACUGGAGGACCGAACCGACUAAUGUUGAAAAAUUAGCGGAUGACUUGUGGCUGGGGGUGAAAGGCCAAUCAAACCGGGAGAUAGCUGGUUCUCCCCGAAAGCUAUUUAGGUAGCGCCUCGUGAAUUCAUCUCCGGGGGUAGAGCACUGUUUCGGCAAGGGGGUCAUCCCGACUUACCAACCCGAUGCAAACUGCGAAUACCGGAGAAUGUUAUCACGGGAGACACACGGCGGGUGCUAACGUCCGUCGUGAAGAGGGAAACAACCCAGACCGCCAGCUAAGGUCCCAAAGUCAUGGUUAAGUGGGAAACGAUGUGGGAAGGCCCAGACAGCCAGGAUGUUGGCUUAGAAGCAGCCAUCAUUUAAAGAAAGCGUAAUAGCUCACUGGUCGAGUCGGCCUGCGCGGAAGAUGUAACGGGGCUAAACCAUGCACCGAAGCUGCGGCAGCGACGCUUAUGCGUUGUUGGGUAGGGGAGCGUUCUGUAAGCCUGCGAAGGUGUGCUGUGAGGCAUGCUGGAGGUAUCAGAAGUGCGAAUGCUGACAUAAGUAACGAUAAAGCGGGUGAAAAGCCCGCUCGCCGGAAGACCAAGGGUUCCUGUCCAACGUUAAUCGGGGCAGGGUGAGUCGACCCCUAAGGCGAGGCCGAAAGGCGUAGUCGAUGGGAAACAGGUUAAUAUUCCUGUACUUGGUGUUACUGCGAAGGGGGGACGGAGAAGGCUAUGUUGGCCGGGCGACGGUUGUCCCGGUUUAAGCGUGUAGGCUGGUUUUCCAGGCAAAUCCGGAAAAUCAAGGCUGAGGCGUGAUGACGAGGCACUACGGUGCUGAAGCAACAAAUGCCCUGCUUCCAGGAAAAGCCUCUAAGCAUCAGGUAACAUCAAAUCGUACCCCAAACCGACACAGGUGGUCAGGUAGAGAAUACCAAGGCGCUUGAGAGAACUCGGGUGAAGGAACUAGGCAAAAUGGUGCCGUAACUUCGGGAGAAGGCACGCUGAUAUGUAGGUGAAGUCCCUCGCGGAUGGAGCUGAAAUCAGUCGAAGAUACCAGCUGGCUGCAACUGUUUAUUAAAAACACAGCACUGUGCAAACACGAAAGUGGACGUAUACGGUGUGACGCCUGCCCGGUGCCGGAAGGUUAAUUGAUGGGGUCAGCGCAAGCGAAGCUCUUGAUCGAAGCCCCGGUAAACGGCGGCCGUAACUAUAACGGUCCUAAGGUAGCGAAAUUCCUUGUCGGGUAAGUUCCGACCUGCACGAAUGGCGUAAUGAUGGCCAGGCUGUCUCCACCCGAGACUCAGUGAAAUUGAACUCGCUGUGAAGAUGCAGUGUACCCGCGGCAAGACGGAAAGACCCCGUGAACCUUUACUAUAGCUUGACACUGAACAUUGAGCCUUGAUGUGUAGGAUAGGUGGGAGGCUUGGAAGUGUGGACGCCAGUCUGCAUGGAGCCGACCUUGAAAUACCACCCUUUAAUGUUUGAUGUUCUAACGUUGACCCGUGAUCCGGGUUGCGGACAGUGUCUGGUGGGUAGUUUGACUGGGGCGGUCUCCUCCUAAAGAGUAACGGAGGAGCACGAAGGUUGGCUAAUCCUGGUCGGACAUCAGGAGGUUAGUGCAAUGGCAUAAGCCAGCUUGACUGCGAGCGUGACGGCGCGAGCAGGUGCGAAAGCAGGUCAUAGUGAUCCGGUGGUUCUGAAUGGAAGGGCCAUCGCUCAACGGAUAAAAGGUACUCCGGGGAUAACAGGCUGAUACCGCCCAAGAGUUCAUAUCGACGGCGGUGUUUGGCACCUCGAUGUCGGCUCAUCACAUCCUGGGGCUGAAGUAGGUCCCAAGGGUAUGGCUGUUCGCCAUUUAAAGUGGUACGCGAGCUGGGUUUAGAACGUCGUGAGACAGUUCGGUCCCUAUCUGCCGUGGGCGCUGGAGAACUGAGGGGGGCUGCUCCUAGUACGAGAGGACCGGAGUGGACGCAUCACUGGUGUUCGGGUUGUCAUGCCAAUGGCACUGCCCGGUAGCUAAAUGCGGAAGAGAUAAGUGCUGAAAGCAUCUAAGCACGAAACUUGCCCCGAGAUGAGUUCUCCCUGACUCCUUGAGAGUCCUGAAGGAACGUUGAAGACGACGACGUUGAUAGGCCGGGUGUGUAAGCGCAGCGAUGCGUUGAGCUAACCGGUACUAAUGAACCGUGAGGCUUAACC